AAACUCAGCAUAAUUAAUGGUAAAUCUAUAAAAUUCGUGAGUGCCAAUCUACCAGUUAACAAAUUUAAAAACAGACUAAUGAAUAUACUUCCAUAUGAAUCCACGCGAGUGUGCCUGCAGCCAAUUAGAGGAGUAGAUGGGUCAGACUAUAUCAAUGCUAACUAUAUAGACGGAUAUCGUGAUAAA
This is a non-coding RNA of Parasteatoda tepidariorum (common house spider), 186 nucleotides long. The record is from RefSeq and is a predicted model, not a curated record. Lineage: Eukaryota; Metazoa; Arthropoda; Arachnida; Araneae; Theridiidae.